Molecule: ribosomal RNA, 456 nt
Filed under: uncultured bacterium
Lineage: Bacteria
Description: bacterial SSU rRNA
Rfam family: Bacterial small subunit ribosomal RNA
Source: RNAcentral
AGUAGUUUGAUCAUGGUUCAGAACGAACGCUGGGCGGCAUGCCUAACACAUGCAAGUCGAACGAAGCCUUCGGGCUUAGUGGCGCACGGGUGCGUAACACGUGGGAAUCUGCCCCUUCGGUUCGGAAUAACAGUUAGAAAUGACUGCUAAUACCGGAUGAUGACGAAAGUCCAAAGAUUUAUCGCCGAAGGAUGAGCCCGCGUAGGAUUAGGUAGUUGGUAGGGUAAUGGCCUACCAAGCCGACGAUCCUUAGCUGGUCUGAGAGGAUGAUCAGCCACACUGGGACUGAGACACGGCCCAGACUCCUACGGGAGGCAGCAGUGGGGAAUAUUGGACAAUGGGCGAAAGCCUGAUCCAGCAAUGCCGCGUGAGUGAUGAAGGCCUUAGGGUUGUAAAGCUCUUUUACCAGGGAUGAUAAUGACAGUACCUGGAGAAUAAGCUCCGGCUAACUCCGUG